Dermacentor silvarum is the source of this 776-nucleotide long non-coding RNA. RefSeq lists it as uncharacterized. Lineage: Eukaryota; Metazoa; Arthropoda; Arachnida; Ixodida; Ixodidae. The record is from RefSeq and is a predicted model, not a curated record. The transcript is spliced from 3 exons.
UCAACCACAGUAACAGUAUAAAACGAUAAAUUCAAAUGCUUUCCUGCGAGAUUCGGACAUUCGAACACUUAUUCUCAAAAAAACAAUGGGACGUCGCUAACAAUUCACAUUAUAAACGAAAAGACCUUGGUUGCUAUUCGCGACCCAAUUUCUCUACAUUUGAGGGACUCCGAAGCGGUCCUUCUGGCUUUUUCGGAAUACCUAUUGUGUGCAGGGACUGUGCUGGCAUGACAACUGUGAUAGUUAGCGGGCCAUCGCACAUGUUCCCUCUUCUUACAAUACAAUGGAUAGAUGGACAUUCAAAGGUACAUGGACGGGACCCAUCGUUGCAAAUCUUUAACGGGCUUAACGGUGCGGCAAAGCUGUGCCAUGCUUCCCUUAUCGCAUGUUCACGGGAGGCAUGUACUCGGGCUACAGCUUGGGCCCGCUGGUUUCCGCUAGGGACUCUUGUCCAGGGGCUCAUACUCUGUCGACGCCCGAAAGAGGCGUGUCGAGAGGCUGGCCUUGGAGGAUCCGGGCUCGCUUUCAGCUUAAACGGAUACUGAAGGAAAAAAAUGAAUAUAGCUGCAUUAUUUUAUACAGCUGCUGCAGUACGAUAAAAGCCACUCUUGUCGCGAAAGGAGGCUAAAUAGGCCGAAUAAAGCCUCAAAUUUGAAAGAACGGUGGCGACGCCAACUUGCAGUUCUCGCACCAGCUCCUAGCCAUGACGUCAUGUAUUUUUACCACGUGUGCGCCGGCUUAAAUCAUGUUUAGUAGCAAAGAUAUACUACAUUGUG